GACGAACGCUGGCGGCGUGCUUAACACAUGCAAGUCGAACGGUGAAGCUCCAGCUUGCUGGAGUUGAUCAGGGGCGAACGGGUGAGUAACACGUGUGCAACCUGCCCCUGUCUGUGGUAUAAGCGCUGGAAACGGCGUCUAAUACUGGAGAUGAUAAGUUUCCGCAUGUACACUUUCUGUAAAGUUUUUCGGUUGUGGAUGGGCUCGCGGCCUAUCAGCUUGUUGGUGAGGUAAUGGCUCACCAAGCGGACGAGGGGUAGCCGGCCUGAGAGGGCGACCGGCAAAACUGGGCCUGAGACACGCCCCAGACUCCUACGGGAGGCAGCGGUGGGGAAUAUUGCAGAAUGGGGGAAAGCCUGUUGCGGGGACGCGGGGUGAGGGAUGCCGGCCUUCGGGUUGUAACCCUCUUUGAGAAGGGAAGAAGCGAUAGUGACGGUACCUGCAGAAGAAGCACCGGCUAACUACGUG
Molecule: ribosomal RNA, 468 nt
Filed under: uncultured bacterium
Lineage: Bacteria
Description: partial 16S ribosomal RNA
Rfam family: Bacterial small subunit ribosomal RNA
Source: RNAcentral